ACAUUGGUGGUUCAGUGGUAGAACUCUCACCUUCCAGGAAGGAGACCCUAGUUCAAUUCUCAGCCAAUAUA
RNAcentral lists this transfer RNA (71 nucleotides) under Loxodonta africana (African savanna elephant). It matches the Rfam family "tRNA". Rfam says of the family: Transfer RNA (tRNA) molecules are approximately 80 nucleotides in length. Their secondary structure includes four short double-helical elements and three loops (D, anti-codon, and T loops). The record is from Rfam by way of RNAcentral. Lineage: Eukaryota; Metazoa; Chordata; Mammalia; Proboscidea; Elephantidae.